UACGGAGAGUGCAAACGUUGUUCGGAUUCACUGGGCGUAAAGGGCACGUAGGCGGCUCGGCAAAUCGGUUGUGGAAUCUCGACGCUUACCGUCGAAACGGCAGCCGAAAAUACCGGGCUCGAGGGCGUGAGGGGUCACUGGAACUCCUGGUGAAGCGGUGAAAUGCGUAGAUAUCAGGAGGAACGCCGGAGGCGAAAGCGAGUGACUGGCGCGUUCCUGACGCUGAGGUGCGAAAGCCAGGGGAGCAAACGGG
Molecule: ribosomal RNA, 253 nt
Filed under: uncultured bacterium
Lineage: Bacteria
Description: partial 16S ribosomal RNA
Rfam family: Bacterial small subunit ribosomal RNA
Source: RNAcentral